GUUAAGCGACUAAGCGUACACGGUGGAUGCCCUGGCAGUCAGAGGCGAUGAAGGGCGUGCUAAUCUGCGAUAAGCGCCGGUAAGGUGAUAUGAACCGUUAUAACCGGCGAUACCCGAAUGGGGAAACCCAGUGUGAUUCGUCACACUAUCAUUAACUGAAUCCAUAGGUUAAUGAGGCGAACCGGGGGAACUGAAACAUCUAAGUACCCCGAGGAAAAGAAAUCAACCGAGAUUCCCCCAGUAGCGGCGAGCGAACGGGGAGGAGCCCAGAGCCUGAAUCAGCAUGUGUGUUAGUGGAAGCGUCUGGAAAGGCGCGCGAUACAGGGUGACAGCCCCGUACACAAAAGCGCAUGUGCUGUGAGCUCGAUGAGUAGGGCGGGACACGUGGUAUCCUGUCUGAAUAUGGGGGGACCAUCCUCCAAGGCUAAAUACUCCUGACUGACCGAUAGUGAACCAGUACCGUGAGGGAAAGGCGAAAAGAACCCCGGCGAGGGGAGUGAAAAAGAACCUGAAACCGUGUACGUACAAGCAGUGGGAGCACCCUUCGGGGUGUGACUGCGUACCUUUUGUAUAAUGGGUCAGCGACUUAUAUUCUGUAGCAAGGUUAACCGUAUAGGGGAGCCGGAGGGAAACCGAGUCUUAACCGGGCGUUAAGUUGCAGGGUAUAGACCCGAAACCCGGUGAUCUAGCCAUGGGCAGGUUGAAGGUUGGGUAACACUAACUGGAGGACCGAACCGACUAAUGUUGAAAAAUUAGCGGAUGACCUGUGGCUGGGGGUGAAAGGCCAAUCAAACCGGGAGAUAGCUGGUUCUCCCCGAAAGCUAUUUAGGUAGCGCCUCGUGAAUUCAUCUCCGGGGGUAGAGCACUGUUUCGGCUAGGGGGCCAUCCCGGCUUACCAACCCGAUGCAAACUGCGAAUACCGGAGAAUGUUAUCACGGGAGACACACGGCGGGUGCUAACGUCCGUCGUGAAGAGGGAAACAACCCAGACCGCCAGCUAAGGUCCCAAAGUCAUGGUUAAGUGGGAAACGAUGUGGGAAGGCCCAGACAGCCAGGAUGUUGGCUUAGAAGCAGCCAUCAUUUAAAGAAAGCGUAAUAGCUCACUGGUCGAGUCGGCCUGCGCGGAAGAUGUAACGGGGCUAAACCAUGCACCGAAGCUGCGGCAGCGAACGUAUCACCCAAGACAACUUUACGGAGUUGACGAUUGACGGAGCGAAGCGACGUCAAAGCGUUCAUUAAAGUCGAGUUGGCUUAGGGAUACGUUCGUUGGGUAGGGGAGCGUUCUGUAAGCCUGUGAAGGUGUGUCGUGAGGCAUGCUGGAGGUAUCAGAAGUGCGAAUGCUGACAUAAGUAACGAUAAAGCGGGUGAAAAGCCCGCUCGCCGGAAGACCAAGGGUUCCUGUCCAACGUUAAUCGGGGCAGGGUGAGUCGACCCCUAAGGCGAGGCCGAAAGGCGUAGUCGAUGGGAAACGGGUUAAUAUUCCCGUACUUGGUGUUACUGCGAAGGGGGGACGGAGAAGGCUAUGUUGGCCGGGCGACGGUUGUCCCGGUUUAAGCGUGUAGGUGUGUGUUCCAGGUAAAUCCGGUUCACUUUAACACUGAGGCGUGACGACGAGGCACUACGGUGCUGAAGCAACAAAUGCCCUGCUUCCAGGAAAAGCCUCUAAGCAUCAGGUAACAUCAAAUCGUACCCCAAACCGACACAGGUGGUCAGGUAGAGAAUACCAAGGCGCUUGAGAGAACUCGGGUGAAGGAACUAGGCAAAAUGGUGCCGUAACUUCGGGAGAAGGCACGCUGACACGUAGGUGAAGUGAUUUACUCAUGGAGCUGAAGUCAGUCGAAGAUACCAGCUGGCUGCAACUGUUUAUUAAAAACACAGCACUGUGCAAACACGAAAGUGGACGUAUACGGUGUGACGCCUGCCCGGUGCCGGAAGGUUAAUUGAUGGGGUCAGCGCAAGCGAAGCUCCUGAUCGAAGCCCCGGUAAACGGCGGCCGUAACUAUAACGGUCCUAAGGUAGCGAAAUUCCUUGUCGGGUAAGUUCCGACCUGCACGAAUGGCGUAAUGAUGGCCAGGCUGUCUCCACCCGAGACUCAGUGAAAUUGAACUCGCUGUGAAGAUGCAGUGUACCCGCGGCAAGACGGAAAGACCCCGUGAACCUUUACUAUAGCUUGACACUGAACAUUGAGCCUUGAUGUGUAGGAUAGGUGGGAGGCUUUGAAGUGUGGACGCCAGUCUGCAUGGAGCCGACCUUGAAAUACCACCCUUUAAUGUUUGAUGUUCUAACGUGGACCCGUAAUCCGGGUUGCGGACAGUGUCUGGUGGGUAGUUUGACUGGGGCGGUCUCCUCCUAAAGAGUAACGGAGGAGCACGAAGGUUGGCUAAUCCUGGUCGGACAUCAGGAGGUUAGUGCAAUGGCAUAAGCCAGCUUGACUGCGAGCGUGACGGCGCGAGCAGGUGCGAAAGCAGGUCAUAGUGAUCCGGUGGUUCUGAAUGGAAGGGCCAUCGCUCAACGGAUAAAAGGUACUCCGGGGAUAACAGGCUGAUACCGCCCAAGAGUUCAUAUCGACGGCGGUGUUUGGCACCUCGAUGUCGGCUCAUCACAUCCUGGGGCUGAAGUAGGUCCCAAGGGUAUGGCUGUUCGCCAUUUAAAGUGGUACGCGAGCUGGGUUUAGAACGUCGUGAGACAGUUCGGUCCCUAUCUGCCGUGGGCGCUGGAGAACUGAGGGGGGCUGCUCCUAGUACGAGAGGACCGGAGUGGACGCAUCACUGGUGUUCGGGUUGUCAUGCCAAUGGCACUGCCCGGUAGCUAAAUGCGGAAGAGAUAAGUGCUGAAAGCAUCUAAGCACGAAACUUGCCCCGAGAUGAGUUCUCCCUGAGACUUAGAGUCUCCUGAAGGAACGUUGAAGACGACGACGUUGAUAGGCCGGGUGUGUAAGCGCAGCGAUGCGUUGAGCUAACCGGUACUAAUGAACCGUGAGGCUUAACCUUACA
RNAcentral lists this ribosomal RNA (2992 nucleotides) under Salmonella enterica subsp. enterica serovar Typhimurium. RNAcentral describes it as "partial 23S ribosomal RNA". It matches the Rfam family "Bacterial large subunit ribosomal RNA". Lineage: Bacteria; Pseudomonadati; Pseudomonadota; Gammaproteobacteria; Enterobacterales; Enterobacteriaceae. The record is from RNAcentral.